GACGAACGCUGGCGGCGGGCUUAACUCAUGCAAGUCGAACGGAAAGGCCCUGCUGUUGUGGGGGGCUCGAGUGGCGAACGGGUGAGUAACACGUGAGUAACCUGCCCUUGACUUUGUGAUAACUUCAGGAAACUGGGGCUAAUACCGGAUAUGAGCUCCUGCUGCAUGGUGGGGGUGGGAAAGUUUCGUCGGUUGGGGAUGUACUCGCGGCUUAUCAGCUUGUUGGUGGGGUAGUGUCUUACCAAGGCUUUGACGGGUAGCCGGACUGAGAGGGUGACCGGACACACAGGGACUGAGAUAAGGCACAGACUCAUACGGGCGGAAGCAGUGGGGCAUCUUCUAAUAUGGGCCGAAGCCUGCUGCAGCAACGCCGCGUGCGGGAUGAAGGCCUCCGGGUUGUAAACCGCUUUCGACUGUGACGACGCGUGAGUGACGGUAAUGGGUAAAGAAGCACCGGCUCACUACGUG
Molecule: ribosomal RNA, 468 nt
Filed under: uncultured bacterium
Lineage: Bacteria
Description: partial 16S ribosomal RNA
Rfam family: Bacterial small subunit ribosomal RNA
Source: RNAcentral